Long non-coding RNA from Macrobrachium nipponense, 931 nucleotides. RefSeq lists it as uncharacterized. The transcript is spliced from 3 exons. The record is from RefSeq and is a predicted model, not a curated record. NCBI's taxonomy places the organism in Eukaryota, Metazoa, Arthropoda, Malacostraca, Decapoda, Palaemonidae.
CAUUGUAAGAGAAGUAUUUCCAAAGGAACUGAAGGAUAUGAAGAAUGAGUGUUCUUGCCAUUCUUUGUUUAGUAAUCGUAAUCGUUAAUAACUGUAAAAAUACAUACAAUUUGUUGGAAAAAUCCAAGUGUUUUCCAAGUUGUCCUGUUAUCUCUUGCAAACACUCAGUUGUUUGUCAUGGCACUAAGACCGUUUUGAGAUUAUAACUACAAUUCUAAGUGGAAUACGAUAAACUGGUAGCCAAAUACAGUGUUGUCUUGUAUAGAAAUCUGUAGUAAAAAAGUUUCCGAGGCGCUCAAACUAUGAUUUUCAAGCGUUGGCAACUCUUAUCACUGUGGAUACUGGAUGGAGUUGUGUUGUGAAUGUGAAGACGGGCGACGUCAGUCUGCCGCAGGCAAGUCCCCGUCACAAAUCACAAUACCCUUGAAGGAUAUCUCAUAUAUCGGUUGUAAAAGGAGAAAAUUGUCAUGAAACACAGGAGCUAGCCAUUUGCUGUACGCAGAACGGGAGUUUUUUCUAUGCCUACGGGGAUCAUAAUGGACCAUAUUGUCAAGGAACAGAAGUUUAUUCUAUAACUUCGGGGAUCAGAACAGAGAUCAUUGUCAAAGAACAGUAGGAGUUAACCAUUUGCUGAACGCAGUAAUAGGAGCCGUUACUACAACUGCCACGAUCAGAAACAACGUCUCACUUUGAAGAUGGAACAAGGAGAAAAAGGAGGAAGUAUGAAGUACCAGAGCUACACUCUGGAGGACUUCCUCCUCAGCAGCCAUGUGGAACAGAUGGAGUUUAUGAUGCUCUCCCCUGGCAUGUUGCAGACUGCCUACGACAAGGAGCGUUGGAGCAACCAGUUCCUCAAGUUUCUGAAGACCAUAGUGCACCUCGGCCGAAUUGUAUUUCUGCAAACUUUGGUAAGGGCCUGUGGCAUUUCCUG